Molecule: ribosomal RNA, 448 nt
Filed under: uncultured bacterium
Lineage: Bacteria
Description: bacterial SSU rRNA
Rfam family: Bacterial small subunit ribosomal RNA
Source: RNAcentral
AUUGAACGCUGGCGGAAUGCUUUACACAUGCAAGUCGAACGGUAGAGGGGGGCAACCCCUUGAGAGUGGCGAACGGGUGAGUAAUAUAUCGGAACGUGCCCAGUCGUGGGGAUAACGUAGCGAAAGUUACGCUAAUACCGCAUACGAUCUACGGAUGAAAGCGGGGGACUCGCAAGAGCCUCGCGCGAUUGGAGCGGCCGAUAUCAGAUUAGGUAGUUGGUGGGGUAAAGGCUCACCAAGCCAACGAUCUGUAGCUGGUCUGAGAGGACGACCAGCCACACUGGAACUGAGACACGGUCCAGACUCCUACGGGAGGCAGCAGUGGGGAAUUUUGGACAAUGGACGCAAGUCUGAUCCAGCCAUUCCGCGUGCAGGAUGAAGGCCCUCGGGUUGUAAACUGCUUUUGUACGGAACGAACGGUGAGGCUCUAAUACAGUUUGCUAAUGAC